GUUAAUGCCAUGGAGAGCAAGCACAAUGGACUGGAUCUCCAAGCAUGCUCCUUCCUCACUGCCCCAACUACAGAACAAAAUACCUGCACAAAAGAGUAACAUGGCAUUUUUCUGGCUUCUAAACUUGGCCUCCUCAUCACAAGCAAGUGAAGUUUGGGCAUGUAACCCAAAUGCACCUGAAAGAGAACUAAACCACAACCCAGUUCUGCUGCUGUGCAAUAACAACAGACUUGUGAUGACUUGAGUAGAGCCAUGCCGAUGAGAAAUCUGGUCUGUUAGACUUCAUACCACAAGCACACCUGCUUCAGAGUCAUAUGGGUGCCAACUGGUUUGUCUGCAGAAAUUCUAAAGCCACCACCUUCAUUCAUUCCACUUUUUUCCACCCCUGGUCCCCAUCCUACCACAAGCUUCUGAGGAAAAGACAUCACACCAGCAUCUUUCCUGCUUUUUCAGCUACAAACACAGGGAGCAUCACACAGUUCUGCCAGGCCACAAGCUGGGGC
Long non-coding RNA from Passer domesticus (house sparrow), 503 nucleotides. RefSeq lists it as uncharacterized. NCBI's taxonomy places the organism in Eukaryota, Metazoa, Chordata, Aves, Passeriformes, Passeridae. The record is from RefSeq and is a predicted model, not a curated record. The transcript has 3 exons.